This 8786-nucleotide long non-coding RNA is filed under the name Gallus gallus (chicken). Lineage: Eukaryota; Metazoa; Chordata; Aves; Galliformes; Phasianidae. The record is from RNAcentral.
GCCGCCCCGCACCCCUUCCCCCCUCCCGACCCCCUCGUGCGAGAAAUACAGCUCUGAGGGUGCUCCCCCAGCCCCCCCACAACGCCUCCCCCAAAUACCUCGCCGAGGUAUUAAAAAUAUUUCAUAACGAAUGGAAAGGUGGAAAAUCAUUCCCAGCCGUGCGGAGGGCGGCUCGCCCCCCCCCCUCCUCCUCUGCCUGCCUUCAACCUCGGGGGGAGGAUGGGCGGGGGUGGCAGCACCCCUGGGCCUCCCUUCUUCCCUCGCAGGUUGCGCCCGUGCGCAUCUCCGCGCGCAUCAGCCCCCCCUCCCCCCGCGCCUCCCUACCGCGCAACCCGCGCACCCCGCGCAGUGACCCCACGGCGAGUUCGAGUCCCGCGGGGAACGGAUCCCUCCGAGCUGCGGGGGUUGCUCUGGGGACGGCCUCCAGGGAUUUGUGUCUGAUUCGGUUUUAUCCCUUUCUGACACUUCUUUUUUUCUCGCUGAAGGGCAGCGGCGGUGCUCUGGGGUACGGGGCGAGGGGAUGCGAGGGGACCUCGGCUGCGCUCUGCCCGAGGAAGGGACCUUCUCUCCUCUUUAUUUUCUCGGCUCACUUUAACUGAUCCAUCCUGACACUCUAUUUUGCUUUCAAAUCAAGUAAAGAUGUGGGAGAGAACUUUUGAACUGUUUUAUGGAAAGUGGAGUGAAGCAAUGCUGCAGUGAGGGCUUUUUUCCUCCCUCGCCGGACUGAUGCGUCCGGCCCUGCACCUCUGAUGCCCAAAGCCUUUUGCAGCUCAGGGUGUGUACAGGGAGGGGGAAACGAAAUGUUUUGGUGGCAUUCGGCCCGUGACAGCCGGCGCAUCCCGGUGCCUCCCGGAGCCCCUCUGCACUUGGACCCCCACCGGCCCGGAGCUGCCCAAGGCGCAGGCGGCCAACGGCAGCGCUUCCAAAAAGUCGGGAUGAAAAAGUUGAAGGCUUAAUGUUUUCUGACAGAUACAAAUGAUACCCCAAGGCUUUCUUAAAACGCGGCGAAUGACGGGAGGAGAAAGGGUUUUCCUAUUCGGGUUUCUGCAGCUGGAAGCAAACGGGGUGGGGGGUUCUCCUCGGCCCUCCUGUCCCGAAAAUUAAACCAUCUCCUGGAAUAACUCCGUUUUUCCCAAGUGCCAUUCGGCACAGCCCCACUCUGGCUCUGCUCCGUGGCCUUCUCCGCAUCCCUCAGACCACGAGCACCGAGCCAUGCUCCGAGCAAAUCCGAAACCGCUGUCAGCAGCCGCUCGGGUUUAGUCCUGGUUGUCCGCAGCCUGAACCGAGUGGGAUCAGCAAUGCCACCGCCAGAGGAUGGACAGCUCGGGGUGCGCGGGCUGCUUCUCUCGGUGGGGAGGGGGAAGGAAGGGGGAAAGUGCCACAUAGUCCCACAAUUCCCUCUCCGAGCAGUGGGAACAUGCUUUUCUUAUUAAUUGAUGGAGGAAGGGGCACCGGCGCUUGCAAGGCAGCCUGCUCAUGUUACUCUGUGCAUCUCCAGGUCCGAAAUGUGUUUGGUUUGUGGACUAAAAAAGAUGCCUCUCGUGCAGGGCAGUCCAAGGCCCGCGCGAUCCGUUGGCAUUUUAUUGUGAUCGUUCUUCUGCAGAAAAAGGGGCUGCGUUUGGUACCACCGAUGCUGCGUUUCCUUGUGGGUUUCCCUCACCUUGUUUCGGGCGAGCAACCUCUUAAUUGCUGCAGCGUUUGGAUGGGGGAAACGCAUUUCCCCUAAACAGAACAUUUCCUGAAGGGCUGAAAUAUUCUAAUAACGCGCUUUAAUGUCCUCAGAACAGCCGUGAAUCUCUGCAGGGCCACGCGUUUCCUGCCUUAAAAAGCAAAAUCGGCGAAACAAUUCACCUUUGUGUGCACUCAGCACCCUCUCUUCUAUUUUCUUUUCUUUCCCUCCCUUCUUCCCCUCCUCCCCCCUUUUUCUUAUUUUUCCUCCCAUAGAUGCUCUGCGCUGCCCCGCGAUGAGGAGCGGGGACGACUUUCUUUCCAGUUUCAUUGUGGGAACGGCCGUAUCUUAACGGGCACAUCUCAGCGAGAGAUAGGAGAACACCACCGCCUUCCAGAGGGCUGCGCUAAUCAGCGCACGGGGCAAGAUAUAAAAGUUCAGGGCAAAUAAAACGAAUUAGUUUUAUUAGCACGUUUAGGAGGCGGUCUAACGAAGGAAUUCGGCUUUACUAGAGAAUGUUUUCUCCACCCCUUCUGUUAUUUAAAAGCAGCAUCUAUGCGGGCUGAUCGGGACGGGGGGGUGGGGGAGAAAUAACGCACCGCUCAACCCGCAGUGAUUUUCUCCGAGGAACGCGCCAUUCUCUCCACCCGGUAAGGAGCACAGAGCCCGGGAAAUACACGAUUUCACAAUGCAAUCUGCUCGAACAAUAAAACCAGUAGUAAAGGAGAGGCUCGGGGCCGAUCAGCGGCGGCUGUCGGGGGGAAAUCUCUGCCCCGCUCAGGGAUUCGUUCGGCUGAACCGCGUCCGGGGAACGGUGCCACCGCUCCGGCUCGGGAUGUCCAGGACUCGGCCCGUAUUUCAGGCACCAGAAGGAUUUUGGGGACGUUCUCCAAGCGAAGCAGCUCUCAGCAAUUAUUUGGACGUCGGGUUUUAGCUCAGAGGCGCAGGGAACGCAUCCCUGGGUCUGGGAGGCAGAAAUUACGUAUUUUAAGACUGUUAGGAAAUAAUCAAACGGCGUCUCGGUCCUCGCUAUCCGCACUGGGGUACCUCGCUAGGCACAUUUUUUUUUUUUUUGUUCAAUUCGUGUCUCGGCGUUUGUGUUCGCCUACAGCGAGGUCGGCAAAACUUAAGGAAUAAGGACGAAAUGACAGAAAACGCUCCUAGGGACGAUUUUUUACGCGACACCUGAAAAUUCUCCUAAGGGUACCGUCGGGGAGGAACUCCGCGCGUCCAUUCAACGGAGUUAACACGAGGGAAUAGAAGCCUUUUUCCACCGCUCCGAGAAUUUCGCCUCCGUUGGACAGAGCGGAGUUGCGGGACAUCGCUGGAGCGUGGGGCUUCCUAAAGGUGUGCCCAUUUUUUUUUUUUCAAUCAGAAAGUAAAUAACAACAAUAAUAAUAAUAAUAAUAAAACACACACACGCAAAGGAGAAAAAAAAAAAAGUAGGGGAACGGAAGAAUUUUCUUGUUCCGAAAAGGGAAUUAAUUGAACGGCAGCUCAGGCUCUCUCCGCCCGCAUCUCUUCCGCGGCCGCGCAGCCCCGGCUGAGACCCCCGCAGCCCCCCGCGCUCCCCAUCCCUCCACCUGUCCCGGCUCGGCCCCCCCGCGCUGCCAUCUCCGGACACCCCCGGGGCCCCGAUCCGACCGCCCCAUCCUAUAGUAGGGGCCGUGCUUUGCUCCGCGUUGCUCCGCGCUGCUCGGGAGAAGAACUCGGGGUUGAAAACGGUGCGCUUACGAUAAAAUAAUAGCACAACAACAACGACGGCGACAAAAAUCUGAAAUAAAGUGAGAGAGAAGCCCUGAAGAAACGCUACUGCUGCAGUGUUUGGUAUGGAAGUGAGGCAGCAAACAGAGCUGGAGCAGGGGCUGGAGGGAGGCCACAGGGCUGCAGGGAUGAGUUGCACGGGUCUGGAACACUCUGCUGCUCCUGCAGCCCUACAUCCCUCCCCAAACCCUUUAUCCAUUUUAAUUUUCCAGGGAAAGUUUUGAAGUUUCAGAUGCUUUGCUUCCAAUGCGUGCCCCCCUCUUGGGCUUUGGAGAGCCUAACGGGUCAUUCUGAAAAGAGCAGCGUGCAAGGUCCAGGCAAGCACUGCAGUGGGGACAUGGCUUGUGCUUUGCUAAGGACAGAAGGAUACACAUGCACGUACACCCGGCCCAUAGCCACAGCCGAAAACCAAGGACAACGAAUAUGGAAUGGAUCAGAAAGAUAAAUAGCAUAAAAUCAGGAACAGUCCGGUCCCACACUUGCCAUUUGUUAUAGAGAGAAGAAGUAAAUGGGAUUCACAUGUCGAGCAUUAGCUGGUUGUUAGUCUGUAAGAUAAUAUUAACUUUAGUGCUUGCUGGUUUACUCCAGUUUUCCGAAGGCAGUUCCAGGAGGCGCCCAGCCUGUAAUUUAGGAUGGCACAUACUGUGUGAAAGAGGCUUUGGCACUGGGGCCUACCAGCACAUCAAGGUGAUAUUAACAUAAUAAAACGUUUGGAGAGCGAGUGGGAGCUCAUAAAUUAAUGCAUUCUACUGUUUUAAUGUGAGGAGCUAACAAUACGUUUCCUGUUGGGCUGAUCGUCCCGCUGCAGCCUAACAGCUGUUUUAAAGGUGCUGUGAAAUUAAAGAGAGGGAAGACGAUUGUCUUUAAAUCAAUGUUUAAUGAUGUGUUAUUAGGAGAAUAAGUCUUCCUCCAGCAGAUGUUUACAUGCAGAGGAUGGAGGGAGCUUCCCCGGCUGUCUGAGUGCCUGAGCAGUGUGGAUGAGAUGCCCCCAUGUCCCUCUUCGGAUGGUCCCAGUGUUCCCAGUGCAGGGUCAGGAAGGCUUGGCGGAGGGCUGGCACUGGGAAAGGCUUUGCCCACGUCUUCCAGUGGGAGCUGAGGAAACUCCUCCAGGAUACGGAAUGGCCACGAGGUUUUGAGUGGUGGCCAUGGACGGGUGAACAUGGGAAAAGGUAAAGACUUCCUAUUCACGUUCAGCACAGGUCAGGGCUGCUGGGAUCCUUUCCCUGUAACAAACAGAUGUGCAUAUGCACGUGUUGUAAAGAGAUCCCAUGCCUCCUUGCCUAGGAGAUGAUCCUUGCUGGGUAUGUGUGGGUUGGGAGCAUGACUGAGCCCCUGUGGAGGUAGAAUGAGGCUCAGAUAGGUCAGCAGGGCUGAGAUGCCUCUGGCCAUGCACUAACAGCAGGCUUCAGGUACUAGAAAAAUACAUGUACCUUUGAGGCAAGACUUGGGAGUGAGCUCUGGAAUGUGGUACCUGAAAUAAGGUACCUGCAAGCAUCAAUCUGUAGGCGCCCAAGACUUGUAAUUUCUUUUCUGCUUGGCCUGAAGAUGUAUGAAUGAAUCACCAUGUCUGUGGGUUUAAAAGAUGGCCAUCAUAAAGCUUCCCACCUAGAGAAAACAUCUGGCGGAUUCAGAUGCCAAAAGUACGUGGGGGUCGAUGCUGGGGAUGGCACAGGGUUGCUGGGGGCUGAUGGGAAGGUUCACCUGCUGCUGGGCACCUUAUUGUCAGGUGAACUCCUGCUGCAGGCCAUAAGAGCAUCAGAUCAUCUCCAGGCCAACCCAAGCUGUUUCCCAAAGGGUUGCUUCCAAAACCAAGCGUGGUGGUACAAAUUGCUCCUAUGCAAACAAAGGAACCCCUUGUAAGUGCUUACUUUCAUCAUCACAAACGUUCAUUAAAGUCUCUCUUUAUUUCCAAAUAUAGCAAAGAAAUGGCUCUCCAAGAUUGCCUGCUCCUUUAUUCAUGAUCUGUUAGUGCAUCUUUGGAAUAGUGUCCAGGAGGCUGCACAGCUUCUUUGGGAGAAACGGGGAUGUUUGGAACAUGAGUGGAUUCUAACAUUUCUAAACUUCCCAGAAGAGGCAGAUUGUAAAGGAAUAAGAUUCUUUCUGUGCACGCACAUUUGCUUUGGAGCCAAAUGGAAAGGAGAGCUCAGAAGAAAAAAAAAUGACAAAUUGUCUGGAAAAUGUUGUCCUUCCCAAGGCAGAAUGGGGGGGAACCAUAUGGAGGGAAGGCACUCAAUACCAAAUUUUUCCCUUUCAAUCCCAGUCCAGCAGCCCUCCCAUUCACUCUGCUAGGGGAUUGCUGUGAGUCAGACCCACAAGAUCAUCCAUUCAAAGCUGGUCAUAUUUCCAGCACUUCACUCCUCUCCUAUUCCCUGCUGAAGCAAGAUGGAAAGGGUUCCCCCCUCCCCAAAUGUAUGGUGAGAGCAGUGGGAUGGGACCCAGGGCCGUCCCCAUCCCUGCCAGUGAAGGAAAGGGCAGAGCUCCUCCGGUGCUCUGAAGCAGUGAUGAUAGACGUGGUUUCUUUCUGGACAAAAUGAGUGAUGUGUUGUGAUCUUGGUGGUGAGCUGGAGCACAGAAAGUACUUCCUAUGACAAAGAAACUCCUUCACUCCAUUCAGUCAUCAAACUUACCAUCUUUGUCAUCUUCAAGUAAUAAAUAAGCUCAAUAUUUUAUGCGUUCCCAACUAUUAAUGGUGACAUUUAUUGAAGAACAACAAAAGCUGCAGCAGUUGUGUACAUCAGCAGUUAACAGCAGUGGGCAGAGCGUGCAAGACUCUGAAGAAGACGUUGGGGAAAGAGUUUUUGUGUGUGGUUGUGUUUAUCCCCUGGUGACACGCCGCUAACAAGCUGCAAAGCAGAGAUCACCCACAACAAACAAACACAAACAAACAAAGUUUUGUGGAGGGUGGUAAGACUUAGUUUAAUUCUCUUAGGCCUUUAAAAAUAAUUAUAGCCCUGUUUGUGACAACUGGGAUGGCCACAUCGACUCCAAUAAAACUGCUUGUUAAUCUUUAGGAGUUACAUUUGGAGAUCUUUCCUUACACAGUGGGGACGCCAAUGGGGGUUGAUCACAAUCAAUGCAACGCAUCAAUGUGCAUCUCUAAUUGCAUCUCUCCUCUUUGCACGAGCAGUAGUUUUGACUCUGCAAAUUGUGGUCAGCUGUUUACUUGCCAGUUAAGUUGCAACACGUUUAAUGACUUACAAGAGAUCUGUCAGAGGACUUACUGCUGCCAAAGAACAGGAUCUGGGGGAUUUUAGCAUUAGUGAAAAGUUACUUAAGGUCUGCAUGUCAAUCCAAGUAUCCCUGCUGCAGUUAUAUUUCAUGCACUAUAGACUGUGUGAGAAGAUGAUAAAUGCCAUAUAUGCCUGAAGGAUAACAUGUACCCCAUGUUCUCAAAAUGCAUCAUUGCAUUUGGCUCCAGAUGUGCUGUGUAUUGCUUGGCUGUGCUUUGCCAGCACAGCAAUGUUGUGGCUCACACACUUUCAGGGUGCAGUGCUGAGUCUUCACGUGCCACCUGUGAGCCCUUGGCAACUGCCUUGGUGGGAAAAGGGAUCCUGCGUAGAUAAGCAUACUCAAUUCCACCUCUAGCUGAGAACCAUUUAGAUCUAUAGAAUCAUUAAGGUCAGAAAAGACCACUAUGAUCAUCUGUCCAACCAUCAACCCAUCACCACCACAUUUUGGCUUUAACAGGGAGUGACUAAACACACAUUUAAGGGUAACAAUGUUCUCACUUAUGGAGUGGCAAGUGAGAUCAUAGAAGUGCCAUCUUUGGAGACCUAUCACUGAGUAUUUCCUUUGCUCCUCCCACUGGGGAGGCUUUGAGCUGGGACAGGGGGCAGGAGAGCAGACAGGAGCAGAGCUGCGUCAGCUCCUGCCAGUGAGACCAUCUCCAUGCGCCAUCACUGCUGUAUCUGUUACCAUUAAUGACUUCUACAGUUGCUCUAAGACCAUUUAAGUACUUUGUGACGAUCUGAAACUCACCUCCACCCUGCACACGGGUCCCAAGUGUUAAUUUUUGGAGGUGAGCACGCUGGCCUGGGAGGGGCAAUGAGACAGGGAUUUAUUUGGCAGCGGUUACACCGCCUCCUGGCAGCAUCCGUGAGGCCUCAUACAAAUGAGAACUGAUGGCUUAAUGUUUUGUUGCAUUUUCCCACCAGAGUCAUUACCUCUUCAUUGUGGGGAUGGAUUAAACCGAAGAGGGGAUGCUCAGGGAGAGGCUGCCCUGUGUUGGCCUUGAGCUGCCAUGCCUCUGCCCCCUGCUCUGCCUCCUGCAUCCUCCCCUUGCUGCCCCUGCACAGAAACUCCAGCGUGCACAGAGCACCUCUUUGUCAGGGAGCUGUAGAGAGAAAUAAGGUCUGAAGGUAUUAAAGGGCUGAGCCCUGUCCUGCUGAAACAUGGUGGAACUGAACCAAAAAUACUUGCAGCAAUGAGAAAGCAUCCAUGGAUCUCAAGUGAAUGAACUUGGGUGCAGACAUGUUUGGAAAACCAAUGAAUUGUCCUUGUGCAUAUCUUCAAAAUACCACUAGCACUUUUGCUUUCCCAAGGGGAUCAUCUACAGCAGAAGACUAACCUGGGUCCCUCCCAGCCAUGGGGCUGAUCACAAGAUAAUCACCAGAACUGGGUACCAGGUCAGAAUUACACACCCAUGUGGAAUGCGUUUGCAGAAGAGAAGUCCUCAUUUGCCUGUGAGCAAGGGAACAAAGGCAUUCAUCCAGCUCAGUGAAACGCCGUGAGAUCCAUGGGGGAAAAGCACUAAGUAUUGCAAUUAUUAUUUACUAUAUAUUAAUAUUAGCUAUUCAGAGGAUUUGUGUGUGGAGGAAACUUGGAGGAUCUGGUCUGGUUCUGUGUGUGUCGGGGCUCUUGAGGGAUUUUUUUAGUGUCUACCAUAAUUAAAGAUGAGGACUGAGUGAAACCUUGUGGUUUUACUCCACAAGACAUUAAGUUCAGUGAACUAUUCCCAUGGUUUCCCAAGAAAAGAUGAAAAAAAAUCGUUCAGAAUGUAUUUCAACAGUGAUUCAGCAGUGUGGCAAGAGUGGAGGCUCUGUAGGGAUCACACGUGCCCAAGAGGGAAAGCCAUCAUAGAACAAAGUGAGAGUGUCAGAUAUCUUAAUUCUUCUCUCUCUCCUCAUCCCUGAAGGCAUAAUCCACCUGCUUGCCCUGCACACAGCGCUGGCUUUGCCUCUAUGUUGCUUGCAGUCAUAGGGCCUUUGUGUGAAGUCCACCUGGCUGGGGCUUCCCUUGUUCACCAAAGGAGAGCAGAGCAAUCCUCACCGACCUGAGGGAGCCUGAUUGUCAUGUUUUGAAAGAUGACACGUCCUGCUGGGAGAACAGCAAAAAUUGCCAGAAAACAUUUAAG